UAAUCGAAAAUAAAAUCUAUUGGCAAUUACUUAGCCAAAACAAACACUUUGUCCUUCUUAAAUGCUUUAAUAACAGUAAACAGUCCGGUCAGUUCAACAACUACAUCCUCUUUUCAAGCGUGUCUGGUGGUUUCCUUCUAAUUUUUUUCUAAUUUUUACAAUUCUGUGGUAGCACUUCCUCUCAGAUUCGCAGUUAAGUUAACUAUCUUACAGCAUAUGAGCAAAACAACCUCAGAAUGAGGACGGCGCAACUUUUACUCUUCUUUCUACUGGCGUGGUGUCAAACUACAGAGAGUUUAACUGAUAAAUGUGUGAAUUUAGGAGAAAACGUGACUUUAGACUGUCAGAUUGAUGUAAAAGAGAUUUACUGGGUUUUCCAGAAACUGACAGACUCUCCGGUGCUGAUACUGCGAACUUUCACAGCAGAAUAUACAUCAUCUCAUGUACAAGACCAAAGACUGAAGGACAAAUAUUCAGGAUUAACUCGGAGCCGUUUAUUUAUUAGUAACAUAACUGUUCAUGAAUUAGGAAUAUAUUAUUGUGCAAAACUAAACAAAACUCUACAGAUCAGCAAUGGCACCAGACUUCACACCAAUGAAUCUGCCCAAGAUCAAAAACAAACAGAAGGCAAACAUCAGGAACAACCAUGUGAGAAAACAUUUCACGAGAUUUUGACUGUUACAUCCAUCCUAAUGAACAUUGUGCUGAUUAUUGCAAUAAUAGGCCUACUCCAGAUCAAACUCCAAGCGUGUAAAAAAAGACACCAACAAUGUCAAGAUGAGAAACUGGAGCAUCUUUACAGCACAAAUGCUGAAGAGUUUUCUGAAGUGGAGUUUCGUCUGUUUCACCCGACCAACAACACUUUUGUUCCUUUUCAAAGCCAAAGACAAGAUUUAGACAAAUAUAAUCAAGAGUAAAUCAUCUCAUACAGUCUAACAGAAGUAUAUUUUGAUAAAUAAUCAUGGGGAAAAAAUUUGUUAGCUUGAUUGUUGUUUAAGAUUGACUGACGUGUAUUACCUGAACAUGUAAUGAAAUAUCAAUAUUGUUCUCAGCAUUACUUCUUUUUACUUUUUUAGUAGCAAUAUAUUCAAGUAAUGUGACGUGCCAUAUAAUGUUUCCUGUGUUCUGAUUGGCUGGACUGGUUGUGGGCAGGCCUGGACUGGUAAUCUGGCAUACCGGGCAUUUUCCCGGUGGGCCGACGCACUGAAGGGGCAGACAGAAUUUUUUUUUUUUUUUUUGCCAAGGACCAUCACUAGCAGCCAGUGGCCCAUUGGUUUGUUUCCUGAAUUGACAGCGUAAACCACCCAAUCACAAUGCGCUAUAGACGGCGCUAUGAAGUGUUUUGCUCCGCCUAUAUAAAGAACGCUUCACCCCAACUUCUUCGUCGUCGGCUUUUCCCACGUUUUCACAGCAGCUUUAUCAAGAACAGGCUUGCUCUGCGAUGAGUGAUGCGGCGUAAAGAGCCAGGCAGGAGGAGGAGAGGAGAGCAGUUGAAUCGAAGCAGUUUUGCUCAGAUUGGUGUGAACUAUUUACUGUAUAUCCUCUAAACAACCACAGAAUGAGGACAGUGCAGCUUUUAGUCUUCGGUAAGUUACUCAGUUUUUAUGAUUUUAUUGGUUUUGUAAGGAUUGAAUAGUUUAAAAAAGUGAAUUUGUUCAGUGUUAAAUUAUACAGAAUAAUCUGAUCUGUGUGUUUCUUCACAGGUCUGCUGGUGUGUCAAAAUACAGAGCGUUUAACUGAUAAAUGGGUGAAAACGUGACUUUAGACUGUCAGAUUGGUGUAAGAGACAUUUACUGGGUUUUCCAGAAACUGACCGAUUCUCCGGAGCUGAUACUGCGAACUUUCUCAUUAGAUUCUACACGAUCUCACGUAGACCAAAGACUAAAAGACAAAUAUUCAUCACUAACUUUUAGCCAUUUACUUAUUAGGAAUGUAACUAUUAAUGAAUUAGGAAUAUAUUAUUGUGCAAAACUAAACAGAAGUCUACAGCUCUGAAAUGGCAUCAGACUUUACAUCACUGAAGAAGCUGCUCGAAAUCACAAUCAGACAGAACUGAAAAAUAACUCAUAAUGUCCGAAUACAC
Molecule: RNA transcript, 2083 nt
Organism: Onychostoma macrolepis
Lineage: Eukaryota; Metazoa; Chordata; Actinopteri; Cypriniformes; Cyprinidae
Exons: 7
Source: RefSeq, a predicted model, not a curated record